This 405-nucleotide ribosomal RNA is filed under the name uncultured bacterium. RNAcentral's name for it is "bacterial SSU rRNA". It matches the Rfam family "Bacterial small subunit ribosomal RNA", at positions 355 to 775 of the family's 1533-position model. The record is from RNAcentral.
UCGAGAAUCUUCGGCAAUGGGCGAAAGCCUGACCGAGCGACGCCGCGUGGAGGAUGAAGGCCUUCGGGUUGUAAACUCCUGUUGGGAGGAAGCAAAUUUUGAGCGACCUCCUGAGGAAGCACGGGCUAAGUUCGUGCCAGCAGCCGCGGUAAGACGAACCGUGCGAACGUUAUUCGGAAUCAUUGGGCUUAAAGGGCGCGUAGGCGGCGAUAUAAGUUGGAAGUGAAAUCCCAUCGGCUCAACCGUGGAAUAGCUCCCAGUACUGUAUCGCUCGAGGGGGAUAGGGGUCUGCGGAACUACCGGUGGAGCGGUGAAAUGUGUUGAUAUCGGUGGGAACGCCAGUGGCGAAAGCGGCAGACUUGACCCUUCCUGACGCUGAGGCGCGAAAGCUAGGGGAGCAAACGG